Molecule: ribosomal RNA, 484 nt
Filed under: uncultured bacterium
Lineage: Bacteria
Description: partial 16S ribosomal RNA
Rfam family: Bacterial small subunit ribosomal RNA
Source: RNAcentral
AUUGAACGCUGGCGGCAUGCUUUACACAUGCAAGUCGAACGGCAGCGCGGGCUUCGGCCUGGCGGCGAGUGGCGAACGGGUGAGUAAUGCAUCGGAGCGUGCCCAGUAGUGGGGGAUAGCCCGGCGAAAGCCGGAUUAAUACCGCAUACGACCUGAGGGUGAAAGCGGGGGACCGAAAGGCCUCGCGCUAUUGGAGCGGCCGAUGUCGGAUUAGCUAGUUGGUGGGGUAAAGGCUUACCAAGGCGACGAUCCGUAGCUGGUCUGAGAGGACGACCAGCCACACUGGGACUGAGACACGGCCCAGACUCCUACGGGAGGCAGCAGUGGGGAAUUUUGGACAAUGGGGGCAACCCUGAUCCAGCCAUGCCGCGUGCGAGAAGAAGGCCUUCGGGUUGUAAACCGCUUUUGUUCGGGAAGAAAUCCUCUGGGCUAAUACCCCGGGGGGAUGACGGUACCGGAAGAAUAAGCACCGGCUAACUACGUG